GGUUGCCAGUGGAGCCCGAGUCUGAUACAGUGUCGGUCUGUUAUUGUUUGAUCUAAUUUUCAGUAUUAAAUGUAGCAUGAUGUUUGAUGUAAUUAUGUUAUGGUCUCGUAUGCAUGAAUCAUGAUUUUUUUUAUUAUGGUUUGUAUUAUGGUGAACCCGGUACUGUAUUGUCUUAUUUGGUGUCAAUUACUGGUUUACAUGUUGUGUAUGAUUGGAUGAUUGAGAUUAAGGAAAAAGGUAAAAAGGUUACG
This 251-nucleotide long non-coding RNA is filed under the name Carica papaya (papaya). RNAcentral's name for it is "long non-coding RNA (CPAP_LNC016018)". The record is from RNAcentral. Lineage: Eukaryota; Viridiplantae; Streptophyta; Magnoliopsida; Brassicales; Caricaceae.